RNAcentral lists this ribosomal RNA (254 nucleotides) under uncultured Lachnospiraceae bacterium. RNAcentral describes it as "partial 16S ribosomal RNA". It matches the Rfam family "Bacterial small subunit ribosomal RNA", at positions 524 to 776 of the family's 1533-position model. The record is from RNAcentral. Lineage: Bacteria; Bacillati; Bacillota; Clostridia; Lachnospirales; Lachnospiraceae.
UACGUAUGGAGCAAGCGUUAUCCGGAUUUACUGGGUGUAAAGGGAGAGUAGGUGGCAGAGCAAGUCCGAAGUGAAAACCCAAAGCUCAACUAUGGGAAUGCUUUAGAAACUGCUCAGCUAGAGUGCAGGAGAGGGCGGUGGAACUCCAUGUGUAGCGGUAAAAUGCGUAGAUAUAUGGAAGAACACCAGUGGCGAAGGCGGCCGCCUGGCCUGUUAACUGACGCUGAGGCACGAAAGCGUGGGGAGCAAAUAGG